This is a long non-coding RNA of Gossypium arboreum, 204 nucleotides long. RefSeq lists it as uncharacterized. NCBI's taxonomy places the organism in Eukaryota, Viridiplantae, Streptophyta, Magnoliopsida, Malvales, Malvaceae. The transcript has 2 exons. The record is from RefSeq and is a predicted model, not a curated record.
AAAGCAAUUUGGGUACCAAAAUGCAAGUAGGUGCCUCUUGUAGGUGUGUUGGAGAAAUGGGGAGCAAAGCACAAAAAUUUGGAUGCUCUUAGCACAAAAGGAAUUAUGGGAGCAUAUAAAGGUGUAUGGUCAAGUUAUACUUAAGCAUAUACUUAGGGGAGCAUCUUAACUUAAAUUUUUCAAUAAAAAUACUUUGUACCUCAU